AAAUUGAAGAGUUUGAUCAUGGCUCAGAUUGAACGCUGGCGGCAGGCCUAACACAUGCAAGUCGAACGGUAACAGGAAGCAGCUUGCUGCUUCGCUGACGAGUGGCGGACGGGUGAGUAAUGUCUGGGAAACUGCCUGAUGGAGGGGGAUAACUACUGGAAACGGUGGCUAAUACCGCAUAACGUCGCAAGACCAAAGAGGGGGACCUUCGGGCCUCUUGCCAUCAGAUGUGCCCAGAUGGGAUUAGCUUGUUGGUGAGGUAACGGCUCACCAAGGCGACGAUCCCUAGCUGGUCUGAGAGGAUGACCAGCCACACUGGAACUGAGACACGGUCCAGACUCCUACGGGAGGCAGCAGUGGGGAAUAUUGCACAAUGGGCGCAAGCCUGAUGCAGCCAUGCCGCGUGUAUGAAGAAGGCCUUCGGGUUGUAAAGUACUUUCAGCGGGGAGGAAGGUGUUGUGGUUAAUAACCGCAGCAAUU
This 480-nucleotide ribosomal RNA is filed under the name Salmonella enterica. RNAcentral describes it as "bacterial SSU rRNA". It matches the Rfam family "Bacterial small subunit ribosomal RNA", at positions 1 to 477 of the family's 1533-position model. RNAcentral also lists the same sequence under 2 other names. Lineage: Bacteria; Pseudomonadati; Pseudomonadota; Gammaproteobacteria; Enterobacterales; Enterobacteriaceae. The record is from RNAcentral.